CCCAAAGUCUUGCCUCCUUUGCGAGAGGGCGAGCGGAGCGAGCGAGCGAGCGAGAGAGAGAGAUCAACGUCGGGGGCGAGAUCGGACGUUCAAUGGAAAGCAAUCGGCAGCCCUCAGGGUCUUCAAAGAACGCCCUGCUUUACGGCGGCGGUCUGGUUUUGAUCCGUGGCUGCAAUGCACCAGAGGAACAAAAAGUUUCAGAGACUCCCUGAAAAAGCCAAGAGGAGGACGUCGAUGGGUGCUGCGCUAGCAAAUUUUGACUAGUCUCCUGAUGCAUGGUGUGUUUGCGCUGAACCGAAAGCAUCAACGAAACAAGCAAGUGCAGCAGCAGCCGAUGGACCACAGAGUGAAGGUCGGUGCUUACUCUUUAGACUUUUGUGGUGUUGUUAAAUGGGCUUUGGUCUUGAAUUGUUUCUGCAAAUGACCCAUGUAGUCGUAUCAAAAUUAAAAGGAAAAGAAGAAAAAAAGUAAAG
Molecule: long non-coding RNA, 473 nt
Organism: Nymphaea colorata (pocket water lily)
Lineage: Eukaryota; Viridiplantae; Streptophyta; Magnoliopsida; Nymphaeales; Nymphaeaceae
Exons: 3
Source: RefSeq, a predicted model, not a curated record